GGGGCUGUACUGGUUUCGACGUGGGUUCGGAAUCGCUGUGGGGCAUGCCGAGGAUUCAGGUCACCUCGUAAAUCCAUCUGAAAAAAACCAACUGCGAACGACUCUUCGUACGCUCUCGCGGCUUAAUCCCCGCGGACCUCACACCAGCUCGCCGAUGGGCUGGGCCGAUGGCGCAAGCCUGAAGCAGUGAGGUAAUCCACAUCGGCUGGCCCCGGUCCGUGCACCUUGGAUCAGGGCGAGACAAUAGGGUGCUGGCUUCCUGGGUAGCGUGCGGCUGCGCGAUCCAGGCGGCGAGACACAAAACAGACCGCUAAGCAUGUAGAACUGCUCGGUAAAGGCUUGCGGACGCGGGUUCAAUUCCCGCCAGCUCCACCA
This 375-nucleotide transfer-messenger RNA is filed under the name Burkholderiales. RNAcentral describes it as "Ramlibacter sp014297445 Standard tmRNA". It matches the Rfam family "transfer-messenger RNA". From Rfam's summary of the family: Bacterial tmRNA, also known as 10Sa RNA or SsrA, is named for its dual tRNA and mRNA-like properties. Lineage: Bacteria; Pseudomonadati; Pseudomonadota; Betaproteobacteria. The record is from RNAcentral. RNAcentral also lists the same sequence under 1 other name.